UACAGAGGGUGCGAGCGUUGUUCGGAAUUACUGGGCGUAAAGCGCGCGCAGGCGGCUUUUUAAGUCCGUUGGUGAAAUGCCGGGGCUCAACCCCGUGCCCGCCAGGGAUACUGGAGAGCUGGAGACGAGUAGAGGCAAGCGGAAUUCCGGGUGUAGCGGUGGAAUGCGUAGAGACCCGGAAGAACACCGGAGGCGAAGGCGGCUUGCUGGGCUCGGUCUGACGCUGAGGCGCGAAAGCGUGGGGAGCGAACAGG
This 254-nucleotide ribosomal RNA is filed under the name uncultured bacterium. Its description in RNAcentral is "partial 16S ribosomal RNA". It matches the Rfam family "Bacterial small subunit ribosomal RNA", at positions 524 to 776 of the family's 1533-position model. The record is from RNAcentral.